Molecule: ribosomal RNA, 253 nt
Filed under: uncultured bacterium
Lineage: Bacteria
Description: partial 16S ribosomal RNA
Rfam family: Bacterial small subunit ribosomal RNA
Source: RNAcentral
UACGUAGGGUCCGAGCGUUAUCCGGAUUUACUGGGCGUAAAGCGUGUGCAGGCGGGGCUCCAAGUGGUGUAUGAAAUUUCCCAGCUUAACUGGGAGAGGUUAUGCCAGACUGGAGUUCUAGAGUGCGAGAGAGGGGCGUGGAAUUCCGGGUGUAGUGGUGAAAUGCGUAGAGAUCCGGAGGAACCCCAGAGGCGAAGGCGGCGCCCUGGCUCGCAACUGACGCUCAGACACGACAGCAUGGGGAGCGAACGGG